Molecule: non-coding RNA, 26 nt
Filed under: Homo sapiens (human)
Lineage: Eukaryota; Metazoa; Chordata; Mammalia; Primates; Hominidae
Source: RNAcentral
CAGGCCUUGGAUGGAUGGAAUUCUCC